Long non-coding RNA from Numida meleagris (helmeted guineafowl), 513 nucleotides. RefSeq lists it as uncharacterized. The record is from RefSeq and is a predicted model, not a curated record. NCBI's taxonomy places the organism in Eukaryota, Metazoa, Chordata, Aves, Galliformes, Numididae. The transcript has 3 exons.
UCCCCGGCACAGCCAGCGCCGGAAGCACGGCGACAAGCUCUCUGCGCGUGCGCAACGGACCGCGAGGAUAUGCGUUGUGUGCCGUGCGCUUGCGCACAGGCGAGUGAGGCGUCAGCAUGCUGCGUCAUGUGGGAAAAGAGAUAAUUUUCCUGCUGUAAGAAGUCCCACACCCUCUCUCGCAAGCAGAACAAACAUGGGCGUAACAUAAUGGUGCGUUCCUAUUUGUGUGGGCUGGUAUGCUGAGUCAAGAGAACCAAUGAAGCCUCACCAUGACAAGUACUGGUUACUACUCAAAUGAACACUGUGGUGAAUUACAGGCAUUAUCUACCAUUAAUCAAUGGCAAACAAGAUAAUUUUCUAUGUGCUGUUACAUUGCUAUUCAGUGUGUUAAAUGACAGCUUCAUUAAAGCAGGUUGACUGGCAGUUUUGCAAGUAGUAGUAAUAUUUCCUGUGUGAUUUAAAUAAUGCUAUGGCAAUCUUAGACAAGAGGUAAAUAAAAGUCUUAUCUGGUAA